UUUGUUUUUUAUUUCAAGGAACUACUAAUAACAUUUCACUUUGGUACAAUAGUAUAAUAUAUGUCAUGUAUUAGCACGAGUAUACGGUUCCUUUAUCAACAAUUCACUAUAGUACUCUAAAUCCCCAACCCUUCAAUUAUAUGCAAUUUUUUAGGGACUACCCUCCAAACAUUUUCCACUUCUUUAAUCAUCAAAAAAAAAAUGUACAACACGUUUUUGUGCAUCUAGCCUCAACGAAUAACUACUUGCAACAGAACAAAAUAUGUAACUCCUAAAGCAAGACACUAACCCAUAUGACAGUAACUGAGUAACACGGGUAACCUUUAUAAUACUGAAUAGGUAACCUUUAUAACUUUGAAAAAGUAAACCCCAUAAUAGCAUUGUGUGGUCACCGACAUAAAAGAGUAAGAUCGAUAUCACGUCCCCUUUUCCUUUUCCUUCUUUUUUUAGCCCACCACGAAGACCACCACGAACAUUACCACAAACACCACCACGGUGACCACCACGAGCACAUGCAACACCACGAACCGGUGAAGAAUCAAGGUGUUGCUUUUGGAAUUUUGAUUUCAAUGUUGUAGUUUUUUUAUUCUUUGAUGUGUAAUUUUUUUUUCUUUAAUGUUAUAAUUUUUUUUUCUGGAUUUUGAUGUUGUAAUUUAUUUUAUUUUUUUGUAUUGUAAAAUAACAAUUUAAUCAUCAAUAUAUUUCGUAUUAUUCAAGCUUGUUAUAUGUU
Chenopodium quinoa (quinoa) is the source of this 730-nucleotide long non-coding RNA. RefSeq lists it as uncharacterized. Lineage: Eukaryota; Viridiplantae; Streptophyta; Magnoliopsida; Caryophyllales; Amaranthaceae. The record is from RefSeq and is a predicted model, not a curated record. The transcript has 2 exons.